AGGAAAGGGAGGGGAUUCGAACC
This 23-nucleotide transfer RNA is filed under the name Elaphoglossum flaccidum. RNAcentral's name for it is "partial tRNA-Ser". Lineage: Eukaryota; Viridiplantae; Streptophyta; Polypodiopsida; Polypodiales; Dryopteridaceae. The record is from RNAcentral.